CCCGAUGCAACGGAAGACGCGACGGAAGACACAUGUUCACUUCGCCGUUUCUAUUAUCGGAUUCGAAACGAUGACGUACCGUGGCACUAGCUUAAAAAGCAACGCCCACUCGACACAACUGGAGACACGAUGGAAGAAACGUGUUCGAGUCGCCGUUUCCUAUCAUCGGAUUCGAAACGACGACGUGUAAGUGACUUUUUAUUGGCGUGCGUUUUACUGUAAUUGCGAACGAUUUUAACUAUUUACUCACGUCCUGUAGAUCGCGGCACGAGCUUAAAGAGCAACGCCCACUCGACACAACUGGAGACAUGAUGGAAGAAACAUGUUCGCUUCUCCGUUUUCUAUCAUCAGAUUCGAAACGACGACGUGUAAGUGACUUUUUGUUGGUGUGCGUUUUAUUGUAAUUGCGAAAGAUUUUAACUUUAUUCACUUACAUCCUGUAGAUUAUGGCAUCGAAAACGAAGAAGAACCGAACAAAACAAAACAACCCAGAAUAGACUCAUUUUUUCCCAAGAC
Hippocampus comes (tiger tail seahorse) is the source of this 516-nucleotide long non-coding RNA. RefSeq lists it as uncharacterized. The transcript has 2 exons. The record is from RefSeq and is a predicted model, not a curated record. NCBI's taxonomy places the organism in Eukaryota, Metazoa, Chordata, Actinopteri, Syngnathiformes, Syngnathidae.